GACGAACGCUGGCGGCGUGCUUAACACAUGCAAGUCGAACGGUGAAGCGCCUUCCUUUUUGGUGGGUGUGGAUGAGUGGCGAACGGGUGAGUAACACGUGAGUAACCUGCCCCCUUCUUCUGGAUAACCGCAUGAAAGUGUGGCUAAUACGGGAUAUUCUGGGUCUGUCGCAUGAUGGGUCUGGGAAAGAUAUUGUUUCGGUGGGGGAUGGGCUCGCGGCCUAUCAGCUUGUUGGUGGGGUGAUUGCCUACCAAGGCGGUGACGGGUAGCCGGCCUGGGAGGGUGGACGGUCACACUGGGACUGAGACACGGCCCAGACUCCUACGGGAGGCAGCAGUGGGGAAUAUUGCACAAUGGGCGCAAGCCUGAUGCAGCGACGCCGCGUGAGGGAUGGAGGCCUUCGGGUUGUGAACCUCUUUCGCCAGUGAAGCAGGCCUGCCUCGUUUGUGGGUGGGUUGACGGUAGCUGGAUAAGAAGCGCCGGCUAACUACGUG
RNAcentral lists this ribosomal RNA (494 nucleotides) under uncultured bacterium. RNAcentral's name for it is "partial 16S ribosomal RNA". It matches the Rfam family "Bacterial small subunit ribosomal RNA", at positions 28 to 507 of the family's 1533-position model. The record is from RNAcentral.